RNAcentral lists this long non-coding RNA (375 nucleotides) under Elaeis guineensis (African oil palm). RNAcentral describes it as "long non-coding RNA (EGUI_LNC012547)". The record is from RNAcentral. Lineage: Eukaryota; Viridiplantae; Streptophyta; Magnoliopsida; Arecales; Arecaceae.
UCAACAUAGAGUCGGUAUACUAGAAAUCAUCAGUGCAAAAAUGCAUAAUGCUCACAACAUGAUCAGUGAUAGGUAUAACCACCCAUCUUACGAUUACGUAGUACCGAAAUAAACGGAACCCACAUAUCUAACAGUUACAAACAGUUAUCAACAACUCGUCUAUAAAAAGAGGUAAAUGAACAGCAUUUGAUAAGAUACUUCUGAGUUGAUAUUCUAUUUUUCUGAAAACUUAAUCUACUGUUUACCACUCCCCACUGACUUAGGCAUCGGAGAGUCUCCAUCGGACAUAAUUUCGAUCAAUGUGAACUUUUUUUGCAGGUGUUCUUCUCCGACAACGGUCGCAACAGGGGAUUAGCCACAACAAAUUGACACACC